AGACCUCAAUUUGAGCAAGAUUACCCGCUGAACUUAAGCAUAUCAGUAAGCGGA
RNAcentral lists this ribosomal RNA (54 nucleotides) under Steinernema huense. RNAcentral's name for it is "partial 28S ribosomal RNA". Lineage: Eukaryota; Metazoa; Nematoda; Chromadorea; Rhabditida; Steinernematidae. The record is from RNAcentral.